Molecule: ribosomal RNA, 123 nt
Filed under: uncultured Bacillota bacterium
Lineage: Bacteria; Bacillati; Bacillota
Description: uncultured Firmicutes bacterium partial 16S ribosomal RNA
Rfam family: Bacterial small subunit ribosomal RNA
Source: RNAcentral
UACGGGAGGCAGCAGUGGGGAAUAUUGCACAAUGGGGGAAACCCUGAUGCAGCGACGCCGCGUGAGCGAAGAAGUAUUUCGGUAUGUAAAGCUCUAUCAGCAGGGAAGAAAAUGACGGUACCU